This 7012-nucleotide long non-coding RNA is filed under the name Jatropha curcas. RNAcentral describes it as "long non-coding RNA (JCUR_LNC002288)". Lineage: Eukaryota; Viridiplantae; Streptophyta; Magnoliopsida; Malpighiales; Euphorbiaceae. The record is from RNAcentral.
UGUCAUAGCCCAGCCCAUGGUCAAUAUUGUCCGCUUUGGGGCUCCAGCCCGUACGAGUACCCCCUCACGGUUUUGUUUUCAGGCAGGCUUUGCAACCCGCCCAAAAGGCCUCAACCAUGUUCUGGAACCACCCCUCUUAUGUACAGGACCACCCCCUCGUACUUAACCGAUGUGGGAUUUGCCUAAGGUGUGCUGGCCUUGCCACAUACACCCCCCCUUGGGGACUCAGCGUCCUCGCUGAGGUUUGCCCCACCACCGGCCAGAGGAACGAGGGUCGGCUCUGAUACCAAUUGUCAUAGCCCAGCCCAUGGUCAAUAUUGUCCGCUUUGGGGCUCCAGCCCGUACGAGUACCCCCUCACGGUUUUGUUUUCAGGCAGGCUUUGCAACCCGCCCAAAAGGCCUCAACCAUGUUCUGGAACCACCCCUCUUAUGUACAGGAACAACCCCUCGUACUUAACCGAAGUGGGAUUUGCCUAAUAAAGUUCUUUCUUUGACCAUGAUUUGUUCUGUAUCGUCUAACUCUUCAGAUUCGGAUUCUAUUUUCUCUACCUCUUCUGGCUUGGAUCAUGGCGUUUCAGCACUUCGGUGUCUAGUCCGGAUGGGACCUUGAUCUCUCCUUUGACGCCUUCUAUUGAUUCUCCAUAAAGUUGAUGUUGUUCUUUCUAUUUCUUGAUCUAGAGGCGCAACACCAACGCUUCUCGAUCUGACCAUAAAAGGUUAGUCCACAGAAAAAUAUAUAUUUAUUUUUUAUUUAUAUAUAUUUUUAUAUUUUUAUAUUUAUAUAUAUUUAUGUUAUAUAUUAUUUAUUAUAUACUAAAUACUAUAUAUAUUAUAUAUAGUUAUAUAUUAUAUAGAUAUAUAAAAGAAAAGGAAAAUUAAUGAAAAAUAAAAAUGCCGACACAUAAAUAAAAUUGCCUGAUUAAUUGUUUUUCAAAAUUUUCUAAUAUUAAUCACGUUGUCAAUCCCUGACAACGGCGCCAAAAACUUGAUACGCGCACCGGCUAAUGUUUGUUUAGGGCGAUUAUACCACAUGUAUUAACGAGUCGUAGAAGGAGUAUGUAAAAUAUUGUAUCCAUAGGGAUUGGAAGGAUUGAGUACUAGAAUCUUUUGAAUACUUAAUUAUCAGGCGAAAUCAAUAAAAGGGGUGAGUUAUGCAUAAAUUAAAAAUAACAAAAUGACAAGAAAUUAAACAGCAGGAAAGAAAAGAGUGGAAAUUAAAUAAAGUAAAAGUGUGAUAAAGUAAAUUGCAGAAAUUAAAAAGCAGUAAAAAAAAGAGUAGAAAUUACAAGAAAUUAAAUAACAUAAAAUAAAAGUUAGUGGUUAGUAGUUAAAGGUUAACAGUUAGAAGUUAGAGCUUAGCAGUUAGAAGUUAGAAGUGAGAAAGUAUUAUGGUGAUGGAUUGAUCCAUUACCAUUCGAAAGUGGGCGGCAACGAAGUAAAUACAGGCAAUAGAUUUUCUAAAGGGCGGAGUAUUCUAGUUAGUUAUCUUCUCUUUUGAGGUAGUCAACUAUAACAAUCGUAUGACGCUUUUCAUACGUUGCAUACGUAAUAAGCUUCCCCCUUUUAACACUAGCUUUAUCCUAUUUCUAGGUAUAAAACCAAUGCUCAAUUUAUGUGGUUUAGGUGCUUGAAAUUCAUCUUUUGAUCCUUUGCUCGCCUACCUAAUGUCAAGUAAAUAAAGGGAUCUGGCUUUAUUUUGCAAGUGUUUGUCUUGCAUAAAUUGAAUAAGAAAUCUAUAUCACAUUAUAGAUGAUUUAAUUUUGAAUAAAGUCGCUCAGCAUUCUGGAAGUGGUAGAUAUUAGUCCAUCCCAGAAUGGCUGGUUUACUACUCAUUUUAGAUAAAACAAUGUAAGGAACCAAGUAGUAAUCCAUAUCUUUUAUUAAGAGAAAAAGAACGGAGUUAUUGUCCUUUAUAAAGCAAAACAAAUGACAUAAAGAUAAUAGAUAAUAACAGAGGAGAAUGAUGGAUAAGGUAUGGCUUCUGUUGAGUCUGAGACGCUGUCGCACAACGUUCCUCUUCUGACCUCUGAGAUUACAAACACGAAAUUACGCUAAAUAUUUACAGAGUGAUAAAUUAUAUUCUAAUUUUUUCUUAGCUAACCAACCCUUUUCUCUGUUGCGUACAUGUUAUUUAUAGAACUCAGAUGCUUGGAGGCUACUCUUAUCUGUGCAAUUUGACAAGUGGGGCAAGUGGGCUCCGUCCAAUUAGAUUAUAACUAAGCAUGAACUGUCAUUCAAUGAAUGGGGACUUUUAGCCUUCAAACUGGUGUAGGUGCUCGCUUGAUUUGUCUUGGGUACAUAUGAGAUCACCUAACACCUAUAUGAGGCUGCGUGGAGUACUGUGUCAUCCAUAGGAGGUCGCCUAGUGCCUGUAGGAGAUUGCCUGGAUGGUAUGCUGGCCUUAGGAGAUUGCCUGGAUGGUGUUUUGGUCAUAGGAGAUCGCCUGGAUGGUGUUUUGGCCAUAGGAGAUUGCCUAGAUGGUAGAUUUGGCCUUAGGAGAUUGUGUAGUGCAUUUAGGUCGUCUCCUAGCCUCUCUUCCUUGGCUUAGGCAAUAGCCUAAGAUCCUUUUGUCUCUUUCCAUGUCUUAGGCGAUAGCCUAAGUUUACAUCUUAUUGGACUUGGGCUUUUCUCCUUUUGGGCUCAGUUCAAGGGCUUCUUUUCUCUAUAGAUUAACCUCAAUUUGGGCUUGUGAAAUGGGCUUGUAAUAUUAGCUCUCAAAUUUGACUUUUUGGGGUCUAUUUGCUAAUAUUUCCGUAGAUUUUAUAAAGACUACAUAUUUUUCUAAUUUCCAAGGUUCCUCCUUGCAUAAAAUUGUAAUUCUAUAAAUUUUCUAAGGUAAGUGCACAAAUAUUUUAUUAUUUAAUUUGAGGGGAUGUUGGUGUAAAAAUAUAUAAAUUUUUGUAUCGUAUCAACCACUAAUUAAGGAACUGGGAAGAUACUCGGAUUCUAAAUACUUUUUUUUGUAAUUAAUUUUAGAUUUAAUUUUCUAGUUUAGAGACUUUUGUCGUCUCUUAUACAUAGAACCUUAACUCCAUUAGGAGAGGAAGAAUCAUUGUUUUAGAAUAGUAGUUGCUUUUUUUUAGGUUUUGUUUUUUUUUUAUUUUCUGUGUUUUCUCCAUGGCCAUGCGUAGCUAAGCUUUUCUUUUCAGUCAAAGGUUGAAUUCAAAGUAUAAGUUCUUCUACGAAUUUGAGAUCUUAAUAUAUUUAAUUUCUUCUUUAAUUUCAUCAGUAUUUAUGCAUUUUCUGCAUAUAAUGAGAAACUCCAUCUCCAUUGUUAUCUUAUUAUUUAUGCAAUAUGGCCAAUUAUUCAAUUUAACAUGAUAGCAUAUCGUUAAUCAACAAGAUUAAAUCUGUCAUUGUUUAGUUGAGCUAAUUCAAGUAGCAAUCUAGUUUAAAUCCAUAAUUACAAUUAAUAUAAUCUAAUUGUAAGCAAGACUUUUGAUUAUAUUGUAAAAAUUCAUAAUCUGAUUUAACUUAAACCUCGCUUGUAGAGUUUGUUAAUUAGGACAAGGUCUUUCUAGUUCUUAUCACUAUUAGAAAAUUAAUUCUAUUGCUUGUUUAGGGUUGUUUGCUAGUUAGGGAUUAUCCAUAGCGCUUGUCUUGUUUAAUCCAAUAAUAUAGAAAGAUAUGACGCUUGGUCAAAGAUUAUAACUUGUUUAUUGCUUGAAAUUAUUGAGUUAUCCUAAUCAAUGAUCAAUCAAAAAAAUUUCAUACUAAGAAUUGUUUUUGACUAAAUUCAUCUCCGAUUGUUUUAAACUUAUUUCUUUCAUUGCAUUCUUUACUUAUUGAUUUUGUUUAAUUUACUCUUUACUAAAAUCCCCUUUUUAUUUAUUUAAAAAUUCUAGUUGUUAGAGAAUUAAUCAAAACUAUUCUCUAGGGUUCGACCCUUCUCACCCUAUAUAUAAGUAAUGUAGAUUGGGAAGAGUAUGAAUUAUUUUUAAUGGCGACAACCGUCAUAUUAAAAAAUAAAAACGAGUAUAAAUAACAAGUAAAAGUGGCAAUGCAUAAAAAAUUGAACGAGUACAAAUAACGAAUAAAGUCAACGUGCAACGCACAUCAUAAAAAGACUAGUAAAUAGAAAAGUAUAAAAAUUAAAUGAAAUAGAAAACAUAAAUUGGAUAGAUGAUGAUUUGACUUGUCACUUAUAAUAUUUGAACUUUGAUGACAUUUAAACUAUUAAAUUACUCCCUCUGUUCUCUUUAUUUAGAGAAAAUUUCUAUUUAAGGUGUUCCGAAAUUUACUUAAAAUGAAAACUUUGGAAAUGAUACAGUUGUUCAAAUUCUAAAAUACCUUCAUUUGAUUUGAGUCUCUAUGUUAAUUGUGUAGGUUAGCAAGAGAAAGUGUCAGACAAGAAAAAGGCUGGGCAUUUAAUGCCAUUGUAUAUCUAAAGCAAAAGUGAACAACUAUUUUAUCACAAAAUUGUAAACUACUGAAGAGUUAAAAAAGUGCUUAUAUUAAAAAUAUAUUGGACACAUCUUUUUUGCCUAUAGAAGUAUAAAUCAUUUAAAUGUGCUCAAUUUACUAAUAUGUGCUCAUUUUGUUAUAUCUCUCUAUCAGCAUUAUUUUAUUACAUACGGUAACAUGUAUUUGUAACGUUAUGCACCCUUUUUAUAAACUGUCUUCACAGAAAUGUUGAAUGUGGCCGAAAUUUUUUAAUAAUUAUGCUUAUUUAGGUUAUCUUGUUGCAUCUCAGCUAAAAGCAUGAUAGUUAUAGAAUUUUUGAUAGCAAUGUUUUUUUUUCCCUUUUUUCCUCUUAUCUAGAACAACAUUUUGGGAUUGACUAGUAUCAGCAACAAUCAAAACACCUUCUUAGUUAUCGGGUAAGCAGUUCAAGUCUGAUAGUUGGAAAGCAGCAGGCGCAUCUUCAAAAUAUGAGUCCAAAUCGAUUGGGGUGUCAUUAAGAUCAAAUAAAAAUGACGAAUUCAUAAGCCCUUAUUUUCAAAAACUAAAGAAAUGCAAUUACAUGUUUUAGGUUUGGUUGAAAUUUAUAUGUAGCCAUAUUGUAGAAGUUGAGGAGACUGUUGUUUUCACCAAAAAUUUUUGCUCCAAAUUUUCAUUAAAUUUGAGCGCAUAUUAUCGAAAAUGCUUAGUACUUGAUAUAAAUGCAGGAAAAAUCAAAAAUUUAAAUUGUAAAAAUCAAAUUUGAAAAUUUUGAAUUCUCAAAAUAAUUAUAGCAUUUCCUUAAAUAUUUCCUCAAUUUCGAGCAUUAAUUGCUGAAUAAAUGUGCCUUUGGGACUCUCUCUAUAUGAAUUGGCUCCAUCACAAUAAAAGAGCAAUUAAUGCAAAUUAGGGGUAUAUUAGGUAAAAAAUGAAAAAAAUAUUCAGUUUCACUAUCACCUUAAUUCCUUUGCAUUUUCUAUUUUCUCUAAAUAAAGAGAAAAGAGGGAGUAUUAGAUUAUAUAUAUAUAUUUUUUGUUUAAUACUAUUCUGUCUCAUAUAAAUAGGCCUAGUUUGACUUUCACAUGGAUUAAGAAAAACCAAUUAAUAUAGUUGAAUUAUAUUUUUUGUUUAGUAUUUUUUUUUCCAAAAUAUCCUUUAUAAUAUUAAAUGAUGGAUAUCAAUUGGGAAUAUGGAUAUACAUUAAGUAGGGUAUAUUAAGAAACUAGAUAAUAAAUGAUCGGGUUAAUUUCACUACAACUAUACGGGUAAUCACUUAAUAGGGUACCAACUUCAAGUUGUAAGUUAAAAAUACCUAAUCUUCUAUUUUUGUAACACUAAAAUGCCUUUUGACGCAAUUUAAUUUUUCCGUUGGCCGGAAUGCCACAUACACAAUAUGUGAAUAUUUUUAUUAAUUUUUUAAUUAAAAAUACCUCUCUUCUCCAACUCAUACUUAUCUCUCUCUGUACAAUCAAGUUAUAAAAUAUGGACAAAAUUCUGAAAAAUUCAGUGAUUUACAAGAUAUACACAAAAAUUAAAUAAAUAAUGCACUUCAAAUUCCAAACUCCUCCCCCACACUUAGUCCUCACAAUGUCAUUAAUGUAGAAUCAUCAAUCAAGCGUAAAGGAGUUUUCCACAACUAAAUAAUUGAGAAAAAAAAAAAGAAAAAAAGAGUAGAGAAACUUCUGUGGAGGAGUUUGUUGCUGCCCCUUUUUAAGCUGGUGGUGAAGGGAGGCUCGCCGAUAAGAGGAAGAGAAAAUCAAACUACAUUAGGGCAAUCUAGAAUGAAGAUGACUAAAAUAAUAUAGAAUAAAAUAAAGAAAAAAGAAAUCUGCAGAAAGAAUUGGGUUGCCUCCUAAUAAGCGCACUUGUUUAACAUCCUAGGCUAAACGUUCGCAAACUUCAAUCCUCCUAGACCUUCUAAAGUUCCAUUAUCUCAUAAGCUAAAGGAUCAAUGACAUCAACACCACAAAAACUAAGCACAUCACACGGAUAUUUAUAACAUCAUAUACAUUAACUUUAAUUAUUUCUCUAUUAAAUUCCAUACCAUCAUAAGCAUUUAUUUUUGCUCUAGCUUUUCUAAGAAAAGGUCUUCUAAGCAAAAGUCAGAUGAAGUAGAGGAUUCAUCAUCCUCCAUAUCUAGCACAUAAAAGUUACCUGUAAAAAUCAACCCAUCUACUUAUACCAAAACAUCUCCAAUACCCUUUUGGGAUAAACCAUGGACCUGUCCGCCAAUUGAGUUACAAUGGACAUUUCUUUCAAUGGACCAACAUUUAAAGAUGAGUAAAUAGACAAUGGCAUAACACUUAUUGAAGAGCCUAAGUCGCACAUAGCUCUUUUUAUUCCAAUAUUACUGUCAUAGCCCAGCCCAUGGUCAAUAUUGUCCGCUUUGGGGCUCCAGCCCGUACGAGUACCCCCUCACGGUUUUGUUUUCAGGCAGGCUUUGCAACCCGCCCAAAAGGCCUCAACCAUGUUCUGGAACCACCCCUCUUAUGUACAGGACCACCCCCUCGUACUUAACCGAUGUGGGAUUUGCCUAAGGUGUGCUGGCCUUGCCACAUACACCCCCCUUGGGGACUCAGCGUCCUCGCUGAGGUUUGCCCCACCACCGGCCAGAGGAACGAGGGUCGGCUCU